UGAGGGAAUAUUUGGGUCAAUGGGCGAAAGCCUGAACCAGCCAAGUAGCGUGCAGGAUGACGGCCCUAUGGGUUGUAAACUGCUUUUAGGCGGGGGUAAAGGGGCGGACGCGUUCCGCCUUUGCAAGUACCGCGCGAAUAAGGACCGGCUAAUUCCGUGCCAGCAGCCGCGGUAAUACGGAAGGUCCGGGCGUUAUCCGGAUUCAUUGGGUUUAAAGGGAGCGCAGGCCGCCCCUUAAGCGUGUUGUGAAAUGCCGCGGCUCAACCGUGGCACUGCAGCGCGAACUGGGGGGCUUGAGUGCGCGCAGCGCAGGCGGAACUCGUGGUGUAGCGGUGAAAUGCUUAGAUAUCACGAAGAACUCCGAUCGCGAAGGCAGCCUGCGGGAGCGCAACUGACGCUGAGGCUCGAAAGUGCGGGGUAUCGAACA
This 427-nucleotide ribosomal RNA is filed under the name uncultured Prevotella sp. RNAcentral's name for it is "bacterial SSU rRNA". It matches the Rfam family "Bacterial small subunit ribosomal RNA", at positions 352 to 774 of the family's 1533-position model. Lineage: Bacteria; Pseudomonadati; Bacteroidota; Bacteroidia; Bacteroidales; Prevotellaceae. The record is from RNAcentral.